Non-coding RNA from Maylandia zebra (zebra mbuna), 113 nucleotides. The record is from RefSeq and is a predicted model, not a curated record. Lineage: Eukaryota; Metazoa; Chordata; Actinopteri; Cichliformes; Cichlidae.
GCAUGAUGAACAGAGCUUCUCUACUCCGACUGCUCUCCGUCAUCUCCCUACUGUGCUGCACAACAAAGCAAGCUCGUCUGACUGUGAGUCCCAGCAGCUCUCAGUUUUUUAAA